Molecule: ribosomal RNA, 772 nt
Filed under: uncultured bacterium
Lineage: Bacteria
Description: bacterial SSU rRNA
Rfam family: Bacterial small subunit ribosomal RNA
Source: RNAcentral
AGAGUUUGAUCCUGGCUCAGGACGAACGCUGGCGGCGUGCUUAACACAUGCAAGUCGAGCGAAGAUUGCAGCAAUGUAAUCUUAGCGGCGGACGGGUGAGUAACACGUGGGCAACCUGCCUUAGACAGGGGGAUAACACUGGGAAACUAGUGCUAAUACCGCAUAACAUCAUAAGAAGACAUCUUCAUAUGAUCAAAGGAGCAAUCCGGUUUAAGAUGGGCCCGCGCCCGAUUAGCUAGUUGGAGAGGUAAUGGCUCACCAAGGCGACGAUCGGUAGCCGAACUGAGAGGUUGAUCGGCCACAUUGGGACUGAGAUACGGCCCAGACUCCUACGGGAGGCAGCAGUGGGGAAUAUUGCACAAUGGACGGAAGUCUGAUGCAGCAACGCCGCGUGAAGGAUGAAGGUUUUCGGAUUGUAAACUUCUUUGAUGAGGGACGAAAGAAAUGACGGUACCUCAAAAACAAGCCACGGCUAACUACGUGCCAGCAGCCGCGGUAAUACGUAGGUGGCGAGCGUUGUCCGGAAUUACUGGGUGUAAAGGGCGUGUAGGCGGGAAUAUAAGUCAGAUGUGAAAUACCAUGGCUUAACUGUGGGGCUGCAUCUGAAACUAUGUUUCUUGAGUGCUGGAGAGGAAAGCGGAAUUCCUAGUGUAGCGGUGAAAUGCGUAGAUAUUAGGAGGAACACCAGUGGCGAAGGCGGCUUUCUGGACAGUAACUGACGCUGAGGCGCGAAAGCGUGGGGAGCAAACAGGAUUAGAUACCCCGGUAGUCC